RNAcentral lists this ribosomal RNA (465 nucleotides) under Vreelandella stevensii. RNAcentral's name for it is "partial 16S ribosomal RNA". It matches the Rfam family "Bacterial small subunit ribosomal RNA", at positions 338 to 795 of the family's 1533-position model. The record is from RNAcentral. Lineage: Bacteria; Pseudomonadati; Pseudomonadota; Gammaproteobacteria; Oceanospirillales; Halomonadaceae.
CCUACGGGUGGCAGCAGUGGGGAAUAUUGGACAAUGGGCGAAAGCCUGAUCCAGCCAUGCCGCGUGUGUGAAGAAGGCCUUCGGGUUGUAAAGCACUUUCAGUGGGGAAGAAAGCCUUGGGGCUAAUACCCUCGAGGAAGGACAUCACCCACAGAAGAAGCACCGGCUAACUCCGUGCCAGCAGCCGCGGUAAUACGGAGGGUGCGAGCGUUAAUCGGAAUUACUGGGCGUAAAGCGCGCGUAGGCGGUCUGAUAAGCCGGUUGUGAAAGCCCCGGGCUCAACCUGGGAACGGCAUCCGGAACUGUCAGGCUAGAGUGCAGGAGAGGAAGGUAGAAUUCCCGGUGUAGCGGUGAAAUGCGUAGAGAUCAGGAGGAAUACCAGUGGCGAAGGCGGCCUUCUGGACUGACACUGACGCUGAGGUGCGAAAGCGUGGGUAGCAAACAGGAUUAGAUACCCCAGUAGUC